AUGUGGCUCAAGUGGUAACACGCUCGCCUGGCAUGCGUGCGGUACUGAGUUCGAUCCUCCACCACAUA
This 68-nucleotide transfer RNA is filed under the name Marmota monax (woodchuck). Its description in RNAcentral is "tRNA.Ala". The record is from RNAcentral. Lineage: Eukaryota; Metazoa; Chordata; Mammalia; Rodentia; Sciuridae.